AGCAUGGCCAGGGGCGGGGCUUCCCUGAGGCGCGCCGAGAGGCGGUGGCCCACUUCCGGCAAUAAUCGCCUGGUCGCCGUCAGGUGCCGGCCCAGGUGGCAGGCGCGCCCGUUGGGCACUGGGGGACGCGGGCGCGUCAGGUGAAGACUGGGGGCUGCAGGCGCGCUAGGAGAACUAUGCCAUUUUUGGGUCAGGACUGGAGAUCUCCUGGAUGGAGUUGGAUUAAGACAGAAGAUGGCUGGAAGAAUUGUGAAUCUUGUAGUCAGAAACUUGAAAGAGAGAAUAACCAUUGUAACAUCAGUCACAGCAUUAUCUUAAAUAGCGAAGAUGGAGAAAUACUCAAUAAUGAAGAGCAUGAAUAUGCAUCCAAAAAAAGAAAAAGGACCAUUUUAGAAAUGACACAAAUACUCAAAGUUUUUAUCAUGAAAAAUGGAUCUAUGUCCAUAAAGAAAGCACAAAAGAA
This 463-nucleotide long non-coding RNA is filed under the name Homo sapiens (human). Its description in RNAcentral is "HSALNT0050068". Lineage: Eukaryota; Metazoa; Chordata; Mammalia; Primates; Hominidae. The record is from RNAcentral.